This is a ribosomal RNA of Lepisosteus oculatus (spotted gar), 119 nucleotides long. The record is from Ensembl. Lineage: Eukaryota; Metazoa; Chordata; Actinopteri; Semionotiformes; Lepisosteidae.
AAGGGUGCCCAUAUCACCCUGCAACUCACAACUGGCAACCCACUGAAGCUAAGCAGGUGUGAGCCUGGUCAGUACCUGGAUGGGAGACCUCCUGGGAAAAACUAAGGUUGCUGCUGGAA